GACUGCUGUUAAUCUACUUUAAAGUAACUGGGAAUAGGAUUGUUCCUUGAAUUCUUUGUUGUGAAAAUGUCAUUCGUCCUGUCCCAGCUAAAGCAGUAUUAUUCCAAACACAGGUGAAAGGGCACUAAAGAAAGCAAAGUCUUGGCAAUUGGUUUUGAUCUGUCAGACAUUCUGUUUACAUCUGGGCAACGUUUUUCCUGCAGGGGUAAUUCAGCCACACAAAUACCACUCUUCCAAAAUAGCUGUUUUGGCUGCGGGAGUUCCUGCAUCUCCAGCUCCUGAAGGUGUUUGACACCGGUGCUUCUGGAGCAGUACCAGGAGCCUUAGCUCCGAUAAGGCUGCCUCCUUGGUAGCUGCUGCCUCAUUCCUAGAAGUGGUUGGAGGAAACCUCCAGAGGGCAUUUCCAGCAUCCCACUCAAAGCAGCCCCAUCACCAGCGCUGCAGCAGCACAGCAGCAGUUUCCUUUAGCCAAAUCCCGAAAGCCUCUAAGGGUAAGAAUACAAUGACCUUCCUGGGCAGUACCAUGCUGUAGUACCCACCCAAGAACAUAGCUACCACAGCCCCCAGAGCGUUCCCAGCACCCAUCCUGAGCCUCCCGAGCUGCAGCCUGUGGCCUUGUUGUGGCACUUCAUCUGGAUAGGUACUGUAACCUCUUUUACUGCAGAUGUAUUUUUAUAUACAAUUUAUAUUCUUAAAUGCAGUGUUACUUGUAUUAGUUUUCUGCUUUUGAAAUCACUUUUGGAAAUAUUAACAGUAUAGGUAGUAAGGGAUAAAUUACAUCGUGGUAGGAAACUUUUCUCCUUAUAUCCUGAAAGGAAUUAGGCUUGUUAUGAUGAAAACUACCUUUCAGUGGUAUAUCUUGGUACAUCUCCUCCUGUUAGUGAAGGUAAGCAGCAGGACAGUCACAGCAGAGCCUGUUGCUGUGAGAUAAAGGGUUCAGGGAUAGCUACUCUUCACCACCACGGGGUGUCACCGUAGAUAGCACAAUAAUCUCCCAAACUCCCACUGACAAACAACUCAAAAACAAAACCGAAACAGCCCUGAAUGAAGCGGCUCUUUCACAGCUCUUAGUGGCUUUUUAAACACAAGUCUUAAAAAUCUAAUUCUGUAGCGAGGCCUAACGUUUCCAAUCACGUCAUGUUUGCCUUUUUGCUAGAGACCACUGUGUUCUGUCAUGAAGUUGGUCGUGUAAUUAAGAUGCCUCAAAAGAAAGAUGCACAGUAUUCAUUUUCCAAAGUGUUUUGUUCAAGGUUUGCACACAAGGCUUGGAACUGAGCUCAGUAGGUCACCACUGCUGCACCAAAGCUGGGAGGGCUCGCCGGGACCGGUGACAGUGCUCUGUCUGCUGCGAGGCCAAGAUGUUGCUGUCUGCUGAACAUGGUGAGCUUCACAUGGACUCAGCCAGUGAAGUUCAGUAGCAUGGGGUGUGAGAAGACCAACCUAGAUGAUAUCGUUGGUCCUCCUGGACUCAAAUUAUAUAUAGAAAUUGGCCAUCCCAUUCUGAGUUGUCUCCUUCCCUCUAAAGGAGGAUGACGUUGCGAGCUUUCUCUCACGUGCAUCAAAUGGUGAUGUUAGCUGAGCGCUCUGAGGAUCUGAUGCAAGGGUGGACGUGUGUAUGAAGGGUACUGCCAUAACAUUUCAUGGUCAUUAAGAACGUACAGGUUCUACUUAUUUAACCAUAACACCUUUAAGGAGAGCAGUGGAAACAACCAGCAAUCUUCUGUACGAGAACGUAAGUAAAACUAAACAUUGACAGCUACCUUAGAGAAAUUUCUUUCUGUAAGAUCCCUUGUAACAGACACAGGCGUUUCCUCUUUCUCUCCCUUUCAAUUUCCGGUGCUUAAGUGAGAAUGUUUUGCCUUCCCUUUUAUCCCAUUCAGCUGAAAGCAGCUUCCUGCAGUCCGCACCUCUACUGCAUGGCACCAUGCAACAAGGCUGGCUAAAGGGGGAUACCACCUUGCUUUGUCUGCAGUUGGCUUGGGGUCCUGCUGGGGUUUACGGUGUGCAGACCACAACGUGGGCUUCAUCUGCUCGGCAUGCCAGCACAGGGGUUUGAACUGCCUUUGACAGCACCUCAUGGAGCCACAUUGGUGUGAUCCAGGGCAGUGGUGAGUGGGCCACCAGGAGGGAGGUGGGCUACCAGCAGGCAGGUGGCACAUAUGGAUGAGCACGUUCUGUGAGUCCCCAGGGAGGAGAGAAAUUGCAGCAGUGCUCAGGCCGCUCCAAGUCUUUUGAGCUGGACGUUGACCUUAGGAACGUAAUCAGAGAGCUGAUUAUAAAUAGUUGGUGCAGUUGUUGAUGGGAUUAAAAUGUGCUGCGGCAGGCAGCCGGUUGGAGGCAGGGGUUACUCCCGUGUGUGCCCAGGAUGCUGCGUGCUCAUUUGUCUAUGGCUGCACGUUGAGCCUGAAAAAGGGAAGUGGCUGAAAAACGCUAAGAAAAUCUUCCCAGAGAGGGGGAAGGAGGAAGUCGUGUGGCUUACAAAAGAGGGCUGAGGGACAUGGGGGAAGGGACCAGGGAGCAGAGAAUUAAUGAGGAAGGAGGACGGUCACUGCAAGUGUUCAGGAAGCAAAAUCCUCAAAGCAGGGGAAUGCCCUAGAUAACAGUGGUCAAAACCUCCAGGUAAACCACAGAUGGUGAUCUGUGUUCAGCUGGUGGUGCGUGAUGGAGCUGGGAGAAAAGGGAGGGAAAAGGAGCAGGGAAGGAAUUGCGGGAGAUACACAGCAACCCUGCUGGGGGCUGACACACCAGGGCUCAGCACUUCCAGCUGCUUUGCUGCAAUGCCUCCCCACGAGCCCACCCCGGCGGGUCCCCAGCAGGAGGCCAAUCCUGGGAACAGAGGACUGCAAGUCGGUGCCGCCGCUGCCGGUUAUCUGCCCAGCCCUGGCAUCCCGCCUCGAGAGCCCCUCCUGGGCUGCGUUGGCUGAGCAAACCCGAGAGCGGGGCAACGGUCAGAGCGACAGAAAUGACUCGCUGGGGGAGAAGUGCAGCGAGAUGGGCUCCAGGAGAGAUGAGUCACUGCCGAGCUGCACUCCAGAAACAGCUCACAGAGCCAGCUGCUGCUGUUCGGAAGAUGAACUUACUGGGCUCUGCAGGCUGGCAACAGGGGCGCGGUAGAUGAGCUUGGCUUCAGCUAUUUCAGCGCACGCAGAAGGUGGAUCCAUUUGUGCCUGGGAAGAACGGGAAGCCGGGCGUGCAGAAGCUGUCCUGAAGCUCUGGUGGUCAGCCCGGGCAGCUCCAACACAGGCAGCGCUCCUUAUACCGCACUUACUCGUCUGUUAAUCAUUAAACACUGAUUAGAAAAGGCAAAACAGACAAUGCCUCGAAGGUGGUUCUGACUUUGCGGCCUUCCAGUACUUGAAGGGAGCUUACAGGCAGGAGAGGGAGUGACUUUGUACAUGGUCUGCUAGUGAUAGGGCAAGGGAGAAUGGCAUUUAACUACCAGAGGGAAGAUUUAGGUUAGAUGUGAGGAGGAAAUUCUUUACUCAGAGGGCAAUGAGGCACUGACAGUGCUGCCCAGAGCUGUGGGUGUCACAACCCUGGAGGUGCCCAAGGCCAGGUUGGAUGGGCCCUGGGCAGCCUGAGCUGGUGGGGGACACCCAGCCCACAGCAGGAGCUGGGGCAGGGGUGGCUUUGGGUCCCUUCCAGCCCAAGCCAUUCUGUGAUUCUAUGAUUCUAUGUCUUUGAAAUGGCUCUGUAUCUUGCAGUGGCCACUAUUACUUAAGGUAGAAGAGCCUAAAAUUAAACAUUUAUAUUUUG
This 3756-nucleotide long non-coding RNA is filed under the name Gallus gallus (chicken). RNAcentral describes it as "lncRNA (ENSGALG00010008728.1)". Lineage: Eukaryota; Metazoa; Chordata; Aves; Galliformes; Phasianidae. The record is from RNAcentral.